RNA transcript from Mirounga angustirostris (Northern elephant seal), 3709 nucleotides. It is a transcript of the gene named sirtuin 3, with no coding region annotated. NCBI's taxonomy places the organism in Eukaryota, Metazoa, Chordata, Mammalia, Carnivora, Phocidae. The record is from RefSeq and is a predicted model, not a curated record. The transcript has 8 exons.
AUGGCCGCCGGAAACGCUCACUCACUUCCGGCGCCGCGUCGCGCGAGGCAGGCCGGGAGCGCCCGGCGGCCGGCGCGCCCGCUGGUUGUCAGGGUAACCGCGCCCGUGCCUCGGAAGAAACGCUGUCCCGGGUUUGCACCCGAUUUCCCGCGCAGUCGGCCCUGCCAUUCGACAGUGCGAGGGCCUGGAGUCGGCCCGGCCAUCGACUGGCUUUGUGGCCUCGGCCUUUGUGAGCUGCAGGUUCUCUUCUCAAGCGGGGCCCAUGGGUGGAGGAGUCUCUAUACUGAAGUCACAGAUGUCCUGGGGGAGGGUCAUCAAGGGCCUUCUCCUGGAAGAACGGACAUGGUGGCCACCAGUCUUUGGGGUGUGAAAAAGGCGCCCUGUGCAGUGGAGCUGGCAGUACUGAACUCUGGCAUUACAGGUGGAAGAAGACCCAUAUCUUUUUCUGCUAGUGCCUCAAGCAUCUUUGGAAGAGGAGGCAACAGUAAGAAGGAGAAGCUUUUUCUGCAGGAUAUAGCGGAGCUGAUCCAAGCCAGAGCCUGCCAGAGGGUGGUGGUCAUGGUGGGGGCCGGCAUCAGCACGCCCAGCGGCAUUCCGGACUUCAGGUCUCCCAGGAGUGGCCUCUACAGCAACCUGCAGCAGUACGACCUCCCCUACCCUGAGGCCAUUUUUGAGCUCACUUUCUUCUCUCACAACCCCAAGCCCUUUUUCACUUUGGCCAAGGAGCUGUACCUCAGGAGCUACAGGCCCAACGUCAUACACUACUUCCUGCGACUGCUUCACGACAAGGGGCUGCUUCUGCGGCUCUACACACAGAACAUCGAUGGGCUCGAGAGAGUAUCUGGCAUCCCUGCCUCAAAGCUGGUUGAAGCUCAUGGAUCCUUUGCCUCUGCCACGUGCACUGUCUGCCGAAGGCCCUUUCCAGGGAAGGACAUUUGGGCUGAUGUGACCGUGGACAGGAUCCCCCGCUGCCCGGUCUGCACUGGCGUUGUGAAGCCCGACAUCGUCUUCUUUGGGGAGGCACUUCCCCAGAGAUUCCUGAUGCAUGUGGUUGAUUUCCCCAUGGCAGAUCUGCUGCUCAUCCUCGGGACCUCCCUGGAGGUGCCUGGGACACACCCAUGGACACGUUCCAGAAGCUGUUCUCCAUCUGGACCUGAAGCUCAGGAACUUUGCAAAGGAUGUGACAAGAGCAACGAAUGAGCCCCUGCAAUGAGCUCUGCCUGCUUGGAUAUAGGCACCAAGGGGCAGAAGGCCAGAAAGGCCUGUGCUCAGAGCCCCUGUCAGCUACAGAGGCCGAGAGUUAAGUGUGUUUAUUCAGCAAAUGUGUCUCCUGUGUGCUGGGCCCUGUUCUAGGGCUUUGGACGGACACAGUAGGAUGUUGUAAGCAAGGGACACGGUGUUAGGUGAUGCACAAUAUGGGAGAAAGAACACGUGGGACGGGAAGGCUGGGAAGGGUUGUGAACUGGUUGUGAUCUCAGCUUGUUGGUUUGCGUGGCCUUGUCGGGAAGGUGACACGUGUCAGCUGAGGGUGUGUGGCAGAGGACACUGCACAGUGGCCUGUGGCCACAUGGAGUGAGUGAGCAGAGGGCAGCAAUGACAAGGUCUGACCUCCUGACCCCGCACGUGUUGUGGUGGGGAGAGCUGGUAGAGACCCUGCAGGUGGCAGUCCAGGUGGUGAUGGCAGGUGGCCAGGUAACACUGCAGAGGGCGUCGGAUCCCAGGUGUGUGAAGGGACGGUAGGUGGGAGAGUGUGGACUCCUGCAGGGCUCCAGGGUUGUGACCUGAGUGGCUGCAAACAUGGAGCUGGUUUCCUGAGACCGAGAAGCCUAGUGGGCACGUUGGGGGAACUUGGCCCCAGAGACACUGAUUCGAGUGCUGUUUCAGGCUGUCCAGUGGAUGCGUGGCACAGGCGGGUGGAUUCCCGCAUCUGGAGUCCAGGCAGGAGCAGAGGUGGGACCUGGGGUGCCAGAGGGAGCAGACAGAAGAGCCCAGAAUGUGGACAGACCAGUGAUGCCCACACUGGGCCUGGAAGGAAGGGUGGAUGUUGUGUGGGGGGGUGGGCAGAGGGGCCAGAGGGCCGUGGUGGUCAGCGGUGAGUGGUGUGGAGUCUGGCAGCUGCCCUGUGCCGGCCCCAGCAGUGGACACUGGGGCCACCAGGCCUCUUUAUUUCUUUAAAGUGAAAUGAAACUAGCCUUUUUCUCUGAUUAUAAAAGUACUGUAUGCUCCCACAUUAUAUAAAGAAGAGAGUGAAGUAAAGAAUCCCUGCAAGUGUUUUGCUGUGUCCUCACAGGCUGCACAGAUGUGGUGAUCUUUAACCAGAGCUGGGGAAGCACUGAGCACAGAGACCUACCUGGUUAGCGCCCACAGUCUCCCUGACAAACAUGGAUACUCGGUCCCUGCCGGGACCUCCAAAGCAGAGCGCUUGUCUAUAAGCACUGAGUAAAUCUGUGGUGUUGCUCAGACUUUACCUCAUAUGCUGUGUGGGAGAAAUAUUAAUGCACUUGGUUAUGGAUCACCCCUCCGGAUCCCACUGAGGGGUGACAUAUAUCAACCAUAGGAUGUUUUCUAAAAUCUGAAAUAUUCUGAAUUCUGGAACAUACCCAGCCCCAAGAGUUUUAGGAUGACGAUGUAUAACAAUUUAUUUAAGCAACUUUCUAUUGAUGGACAACAAAAAUAAAUAGUAUAGAGAUUUUAUAUUCAGGAUAAUGGUGUAGUGAAUAAUCAUGUGUAUACAUGUUUGCACAUUCAUGUGAGUACUUCAGUAAAUAUUGAGAAGUUACUUCCCAGAAAGAUAUACUAAUUACACUGCCACCAACCCUGUAUGAGUGGCCAUUUCCCAUAUCCUCACCAACACCAAACAUUACCUGUCUUUAAGUUUUGUUUUUUUUUUUUACCUAUCUUUAGGUUUUUAUCCAUCUGAAUGGUUAGAAAUAAAUGUGUGUGUGAGAGAGAAAGAGAAAGAGAGAAGAAGGAGAUCUAACAUUUCUGUAAUAAAGAGUGAAGUUUAUCUUUUCAUGUUUAUUAACCAUUGUGUUCUCUUUGGAUUACAUAUUAUAUCUUGCUCAUUUUUCAUUGGGUUAUUUUCUUAGUCUAUUUAUAAAUUAGCAGUAUAAAUCCAUAAAUUAUAUAAAGUGUUUAUAAAUUAGCUUAGCAAUUAGAAAUAUAAACUGUAACAUGUUGUAAAUAUGUUUGCAGUUUAUGGCAAUGAGGUUUAAAAAAUUAUUUUUCUACAGCAUAUUUUUAUAGAUAAUAAUGUGAUAGUAUUAUGUAGUCAAACCUAUCAUGACUUUCCUUUGUCUUAUCUCACUUAUCAGGCCUAAAAAGUCCUUCCUUACCUUUAUUUGUGAAACCUAAAUUUUCCUCAAGAACUGUUUUGUGUACAUUUGAAAUUUUUUCAGCGAAAGCAGGAAUUGAGUAUUUUCCUACCAGAUAAUGAGCCAGUCUCAGUACCAUUUAUUAAUCUAUUUCUUAUAUUUUACUCCUGAAUGGAAAUUUCACUUGGGAGCUGGAUGAAGAAGCCCAAAGGCACCGAGUUAGGACUCCCUGGAGGUCUGGAUGGUGGAGACUGUGGAGAGGUAGAACCUUUUGCCAGCUUGUCUGAGGCCGUGCAGAGCUCAGUGCCCCGACUGCUCAUCAACCGGGACUUGGUGGGGCCCUUUGCUUGGCGUCCUCGCAGCAGGGAUGUGGUCCAGCUGGGGGAUGUGGUUCA